UACGGGGGGGGUAAGCGUUGUUCGGAAUUACUGGGCGUAAAGGGCGCGUAGGCGGCGGUCACAGUCAGAUGUGAAAUUCCUGGGCUUAACCUGGGGGCUGCAUUUGAUACGUGGUUGCUUGAGUGGGGAAGAGGGUCGUGGAAUUCCCAGUGUAGAGGUGAAAUUCGUAGAUAUUGGGAAGAACACCGGUGGCGAAGGCGGCGACCUGGUCCUUGACUGACGCUGAGGCGCGAAAGCGUGGGGAGCAAACAGG
RNAcentral lists this ribosomal RNA (253 nucleotides) under uncultured bacterium. RNAcentral's name for it is "partial 16S ribosomal RNA". It matches the Rfam family "Bacterial small subunit ribosomal RNA", at positions 524 to 776 of the family's 1533-position model. The record is from RNAcentral.